This 478-nucleotide long non-coding RNA is filed under the name Elaeis guineensis (African oil palm). RNAcentral's name for it is "long non-coding RNA (EGUI_LNC076073)". The record is from RNAcentral. Lineage: Eukaryota; Viridiplantae; Streptophyta; Magnoliopsida; Arecales; Arecaceae.
CCGACAUUGGGUUCGGUGGAGCCCAUCUACUUAUGGCUGUCGGAUGCCAAUCUGGGAGGCCAUGGGCAGUGGCUGCAAACGCCGCAGCUCCCGAGGCUGCUCCGCCCAAAGGAACGCCGGUAGAUGGUAGACCAGAUAGAUUCGACGGACACCAUCAUCAGUGUACUUGCAGCAGUUCGGACGCUCCCUCCCUUGUCAUGUGGGCGUGCACGGCGUCCCUCCCGUCAGCCCGGGGGAGCACGGACUGAAAACCUCAGGUCACUUUAUCUUUUUUAAAUUAAAUAUUUCUUCCACAAUUUUCAACUAAUGUAAUAUGGGUUACUUGAAGGAAGGAACAAGGGAAAUAUGUUAGAUAGAAAUAGAUGCAGAGAGAUAUCACUUAUGUACAACCCUGACAUGCAGUAGAGAACAGUGGCAAGGUUUUCAGAAGAUCAAUAAAUGCUUUUGCUUUUCAUCGUAGGAAAAGAAUAAAAUGGUG